This 253-nucleotide ribosomal RNA is filed under the name uncultured bacterium. RNAcentral describes it as "partial 16S ribosomal RNA". It matches the Rfam family "Bacterial small subunit ribosomal RNA", at positions 524 to 776 of the family's 1533-position model. The record is from RNAcentral.
GACGGAGGGUGCAAGCGUUGCUCGGAAUCACUGGGCGUAAAGGGUGCGUAGGCGGGUCUUUAAGGCAGGGGUGAAAUCCUGGAGCUCAACUCCAGAACUGCCUUUGAUACUGGGAGUCUUGAGUUCGGGAGAGGUGAGUGGAACUGCGAGUGUAGAGGUGAAAUUCGUAGAUAUUCGCAAGAACACCAGUGGCGAAGGCGGCUCACUGGCCCGAUACUGACGCUGAGGUGCGAAAGCGUGGGGAGCAAACAGG